GGCGAGAUGGCCGAGCGGUCUAAGGCGCCAGACUAAGGAUCAGUCAGUGACUACUGACGCAUCUGAUUCCUCACCGAAUCAUCUGGUCUUUCGGGGCGUGGGUUCGAAUCCCACUCUCGUCA
Non-coding RNA from Schizophyllum commune H4-8, 122 nucleotides. The record is from Rfam. NCBI's taxonomy places the organism in Eukaryota, Fungi, Basidiomycota, Agaricomycetes, Agaricales, Schizophyllaceae.